AUUGAACGCUGGCGGCAUGCCUUACACAUGCAAGUCGAACGGCAGCACGGGUGCUUGCACCUGGUGGCGAGUGGCGAACGGGUGAGUAAUACAUUGGAACAUGUCCUGUAGUGGGGGAUAGCCCGGCGAAAGCCGGAUUAAUACCGCAUACGAUCUACGGAUGAAAGCGGGGGACCUUCGGGCCUCGCGCUAUAGGGUUGGCCGAUGGCUGAUUAGCUAGUUGGUGGGGUAAAGGCCUACCAAGGCGACGAUCAGUAGCUGGUCUGAGAGGACGACCAGCCACACUGGGACUGAGACACGGCCCAGACUCCUACGGGAGGCAGCAGUGGGGAAUUUUGGACAAUGGGCGAAAGCCUGAUCCAGCAAUGCCGCGUGUGUGAAGAAGGCCUUCGGGUUGUAAAGCACUUUUGUCCGGAAAGAAAUCCUUGGCUCUAAUACAGUCGGGGGAUGACGGUACCGGAAGAAUAAGCACCGGCUAACUACGUG
Molecule: ribosomal RNA, 486 nt
Filed under: uncultured bacterium
Lineage: Bacteria
Description: partial 16S ribosomal RNA
Rfam family: Bacterial small subunit ribosomal RNA
Source: RNAcentral